CAAGAACAACCUAUUCAAAACAAGGAUGGGGAUGUUGAUGUAUCCAGCUCAAAUACAUGCAGGGAUAUUGUUCUUUUCCAAACUAAAGAUGUUGAUCACAAGAAGUCUUCUAUUCAACGUCCCAAUUUAAUAGUUAUGAAAGGGAUGACUCAAAAGAUAACUUCCCAACUGGAGUGCAGCUAAGAAGGAAGAAAAGAAAAUGGUCUCCGUUGGAAGAGGAUACACUAAGAACUGGUGUAAAAGAGUUUGGCGUAGGACGCUGGGCAACAAUUCAGAGUUCUUACAAGAACAUAUUUGAAAAUAGAACAUCAGUUGAUUUGAAGAGUGGUGAAACAUGACACGGUAAUGAAUACUGAUGCAGAUGAAUUUUUUGAGCAUUUAGAC
Long non-coding RNA from Arachis duranensis, 384 nucleotides. RefSeq lists it as uncharacterized. The transcript has 4 exons. Lineage: Eukaryota; Viridiplantae; Streptophyta; Magnoliopsida; Fabales; Fabaceae. The record is from RefSeq and is a predicted model, not a curated record.